RNAcentral lists this ribosomal RNA (634 nucleotides) under Salmonella enterica. Its description in RNAcentral is "partial 23S ribosomal RNA". It matches the Rfam family "Bacterial large subunit ribosomal RNA", at positions 1 to 668 of the family's 2925-position model. Lineage: Bacteria; Pseudomonadati; Pseudomonadota; Gammaproteobacteria; Enterobacterales; Enterobacteriaceae. The record is from RNAcentral. RNAcentral also lists the same sequence under 1 other name.
GGGUUGUGAGGUUAAGCGACUAAGCGUACACGGUGGAUGCCCUGGCAGUCAGAGGCGAUGAAGGACGUGCUAAUCUGCGAUAAGCGCCGGUAAGGUGAUAUGAACCGUUAUAACCGGCGAUUUCCGAAUGGGGAAACCCAGUGUGACUCGUCACACUAUCAUUAACUGAAUCCAUAGGUUAAUGAGGCGAACCGGGGGAACUGAAACAUCUAAGUACCCCGAGGAAAAGAAAUCAACCGAGAUUCCCCCAGUAGCGGCGAGCGAACGGGGAGGAGCCCAGAGCCUGAAUCAGCAUGUGUGUUAGUGGAAGCGUCUGGAAAGGCGCGCGAUACAGGGUGACAGCCCCGUACACAAAAGCGCAUGUGUUGUGAGCUCGAUGAGUAGGGCGGGACACGUGGUAUCCUGUCUGAAUAUGGGGGGACCAUCCUCCAAGGCUAAAUACUCCUGACUGACCGAUAGUGAACCAGUACCGUGAGGGAAAGGCGAAAAGAACCCCGGCGAGGGGAGUGAAAAAGAACCUGAAACCGUGUACGUACAAGCAGUGGGAGCACCCUUCGGGGUGUGACUGCGUACCUUUUGUAUAAUGGGUCAGCGACUUAUAUUCUGUAGCAAGGUUAACCGAAUAGGGGAGCCG